Molecule: ribosomal RNA, 468 nt
Filed under: uncultured bacterium
Lineage: Bacteria
Description: partial 16S ribosomal RNA
Rfam family: Bacterial small subunit ribosomal RNA
Source: RNAcentral
GACGAACGCUGGCGGCGUGCUUAACACAUGCAAGUCGAACGGAAAGGCCCUGCUUUUGUGGGGUGCUCGAGUGGCGAACGGGUGAGCAACACGUGAGUAACCUGCCCUUGACUUUGGGAUAACUUCAGGAAACUGGGGCUAAUACCGGAUAGGAGCUCCUGCUGCAUGGUGGGGGUUGGAAAGUUUCGGCGGUUGGGGAUGGACUCGCGGCUUAUCAGCUUGUUGGUGGGGUAGUGGCUUACCAAGGCUUUGACGGGUAGCCGGCCUGAGAGGGUGACCGGCCACAUUGGGACUGAGAUACGGCCCAUACUCCUACGGGAGGCAGCAGUGGGGAAUAUUGCACAAUGGGCGGAAGCCUGAUGCAGCAACGCCGCGUGCGGGAUGACGGCCUUCGGGUUGUAAACCGCUUUCGCCUGUGACGAAGCGUGAGUGACGGUAAUGGGUAAAGAAGCACCGGCUAACUACGUG